This is a long non-coding RNA of Capsella rubella, 1033 nucleotides long. RefSeq lists it as uncharacterized. Lineage: Eukaryota; Viridiplantae; Streptophyta; Magnoliopsida; Brassicales; Brassicaceae. The transcript has 4 exons. The record is from RefSeq and is a predicted model, not a curated record.
CCAAUCUCUGUGAUUUGAUCUCUCUCUUCUCUCCUCUUCUUCGAUUCUUCUAUGGCGAUUCAAUCUCUGGUGACAUAAAGCUUCUAUUUUUCGACACAGCAGGAUAAUACACACAGGUCAAGGAGAAGUGUGGUGGAACCUGUGGUAUUUUCUGAAAUCCAUCUCGUCUAGUGCAGAAAUCUAUGUUUGAAUUUGGUUGGUUUUUAUUGAAUUAAGAUUUGGUCGGAUGAAGAAUGUCGGUAUUUUCUUCAACUUUGUAUAACUGAGAAAAGAAUGGGCAACAGAACAAAGACUGGACUGACUUUAAUUGGAAAGGCGUCUAUCGCAAAGAAUUUUGAAGAGAAAUUCCAAAAAAGAUAUGGUUGGGAUAAGUUUAAAAACAAGUAUGAUGUAUGUAGAAGAGCAUACAACAAGUAUAAGAAGUUGCUCCAUAACAGAACAAGAAUGAGUUUUGGUGCUCUUGGAAGAAUAAACAUGAGUGAUUACUGGUGGAAUGAAAGAAUUAAGGAAUGGCCAGAAGCUACGAAGUAUAAGAACAAACAUUUGCCCAACAUGGACGUUUUUAUAGAUGAAUUUUGUGCAGUUCAUGUUACUGGAGCAGAGGGAUAGAGUGCCUAACAAGGAGAAACAAGUUUAGAUUCUAGAGUGGAUGCAGAAAAUGAUGAUGAAGCAGAUUCAGUUGAUACAAAUAUGGCACCACCAGUGCUAGAAACACAGUUUAGAAAGAAAGCGUAAGGAGGUUGAUAUAGCUACAGAGACUUCCGCUUCACGAAACACGAUUCGUACACGUAAGAAUGAAUUAGUUGAGAAAAUGUUGGAGCGUGAUGAUUGCUGCAGUGUGUACGUGUAGUAGAGAUUCUGAAUGAGUUGCCUAGACUGACAAUGUGGUCGCGUUUCCACGGAGCCUCGGUUGACCAUCUUCUGGCAGACGCCGCUAAUCGACAGGGUUUCAUCGCAUUUCCUAGUAUUGAGGAUAAGAUUAGUUAUUUGGAGCAUAGGACUGGAAUUAACUUUGAUGACCAAACCUUUUUAU